AACGUAGGACACAAGCGUUAUCCGGAGUUACUGGGCGUAAAGGGCGUGUAGGCGGGAUUAUAAGUCUACUCUGAAAGCUCCUGGCUAAACUGGGAGAGGCGAGUGGAGACUGUAGUUCUAGAGUGAGGAAGAGGAAAGUGGAAUUCCGCGUGUAGUGGUGAAAUGCGUAGAGAUGCGGAGGAACACCGGUGGCGAAAGCGCUCUGCUGGACUGCAACUGACACUGAGGGACGAAAGCUAGGGGAGCGAAAGGG
Molecule: ribosomal RNA, 253 nt
Filed under: uncultured bacterium
Lineage: Bacteria
Description: partial 16S ribosomal RNA
Rfam family: Bacterial small subunit ribosomal RNA
Source: RNAcentral